RNAcentral lists this unclassified non-coding RNA (391 nucleotides) under soil metagenome. RNAcentral's name for it is "partial contains 5.8S ribosomal RNA, internal transcribed spacer 2, and large subunit ribosomal RNA". The stretch from base 1 to 122 matches the Rfam family "5.8S ribosomal RNA", at positions 35 to 154 of the family's 154-position model. The record is from RNAcentral.
GAUGAAGAACGCAGCGAAAUGCGAUACUUGGUGUGAAUUGCAGAAUCCCGUGAACCAUCGAGUCUUUGAACGCAAGUUGCGCCCGAAGCCAUUAGGCCGAGGGCACGCCUGCCUGGGCGUCACACGUCGUUGCCCCCCCAUCUACUCCUUCGGGAUUGCGGGGGGCGGAUGAUGGCCUCCCGUGCGCCUCGUCGCGCGGUUGGCAUAAAUGCCAAGUCCUCGGCGACGCACGCCACGACAAUCGGUGGUUGCGAAACCUCGGUUGCCCGUCGUGUGCGGUCGUCGCGCAUCGAGGGCUCGAAAAAAGUGUCGGGCUCCGGCUCGGCUUUCAACGCGACCCCAGGUCAGGCGGGGUUACCUGCUGAAUUUAAGCAUAUCAAUAAGCGGAGGA